AAAAUAUUAAGAACAAGCAUGUCAAGUAUCAAAAUCAAUUCUUUUCAAAUAAACUCCCCCUAUUUAAAUAUAAUUUUGCACUGAUUUCAUCCUUAAAGUGUGUUUCCAUGUGACUAAAAAUUUGAAUUGAUUCUUUCUUGUAUACUUUCAUUUACUUUGUCUUUCUUUUAACUUUCUUAAGCUCUAUACUCUAUUUGCUCCCUAUCCGGUAGAGUUGGGAAGGGGCACGAGGUACUACCACUAGCCUCCCUCUUAUGCCGUCCCUAAUAUGCCCUACACCGAAUAGUUGGGUCAAAUAGUGCCGGGUACUACCACUAGCCUCCCCAUUGGUACCAUCCCUAUGAUGAGCAAUAUAGAAAGGUUAAAAUGUUUACUUCAAACUCUCCCUGUUUGAGUGUAAUUAAUUAUAGAUUUUAUCCCUUCCAAAUGUGCCGAAUAUAUUAUGCUUGUUUUGCUUUUCCUUAAGAUUGAA
Molecule: long non-coding RNA, 472 nt
Filed under: Phoenix dactylifera (date palm)
Lineage: Eukaryota; Viridiplantae; Streptophyta; Magnoliopsida; Arecales; Arecaceae
Description: long non-coding RNA (PDAC_LNC021546)
Source: RNAcentral